UAAUAGACCGGUUCUCGUUAGAUCACCGAAGUCAAGCAUCAUUGGGCGCGGUCAGUCUUUGGGUGGGUGACCACCUGGGAACACUGCGUGCCGUU
This 95-nucleotide ribosomal RNA is filed under the name Caerostris darwini. Lineage: Eukaryota; Metazoa; Arthropoda; Arachnida; Araneae; Araneidae. The record is from RNAcentral.